GCCUCCGUAGCUCAGCGGAAGAGCAACGGCCUUCUAAUCCGUUGGUCGCAGGUUCGAAUCCUGCCGGGGGCACCA
RNAcentral lists this transfer RNA (75 nucleotides) under Microbacterium dextranolyticum. RNAcentral's name for it is "tRNA-Arg". It matches the Rfam family "tRNA". Rfam says of the family: Transfer RNA (tRNA) molecules are approximately 80 nucleotides in length. Their secondary structure includes four short double-helical elements and three loops (D, anti-codon, and T loops). Lineage: Bacteria; Bacillati; Actinomycetota; Actinomycetes; Micrococcales; Microbacteriaceae. The record is from RNAcentral.